AUUGAACGCUGGCGGCAGGCCUAACGCAUGCAAGUCGAACGGUAACAGGAAACAGCUUGCUGUUUCGCUGACGAGUGGCGGACGGGUGAGUAAUGUCUGGGAAACUGCCUGAUGGAGGGGGAUAACUACUGGAAACGGUAGCUAAUACCGCAUAACGUCGCAAGACCAAAGAGGGGGACCUUCGGGCCUCUUGCCAUCGGAUGUGCCCAGAUGGGAUUAGCUAGUAGGUGGGGUAACGGCUCACCUAGGCGACGAUCCCUAGCUGGUCUGAGAGGAUGACCAGCCACACUGGAACUGAGACACGGUCCAGACUCCUACGGGAGGCAGCAGUGGGGAAUAUUGCACAAUGGGCGCAAGCCUGAUGCAGCCAUGCCGCGUGUAUGAAGAAGGCCUUCGGGUUGUAAAGUACUUUCAGCGGGGAUGAAGGGAGUAAAGUUAAUACCUUUGCUCAUUGACGUUACCCGCAGAAGAAGCACCGGCUAACUCCGUG
RNAcentral lists this ribosomal RNA (490 nucleotides) under uncultured bacterium. RNAcentral's name for it is "partial 16S ribosomal RNA". It matches the Rfam family "Bacterial small subunit ribosomal RNA", at positions 30 to 507 of the family's 1533-position model. The record is from RNAcentral.